CUUAGCACCACUUUUCUAUGUGUUCAGGAAUGAUCCCAAUGAGGAAGAUCCAGCAAUGGCAGAAGCAGAUACUUUCUUCUGCUUUGUGGAGUUGUUGAGUGGAUUUCGUGAUAAUUUUUGUCAGCAACUUGAUAAUAGUGUUGUUGGUAUUCGUUCCACAAUUACAAGGCUAUCUCAACUUUUGAAAGAACAUGAUGAAGAGCUAUGGCGGCAUCUUGAAG
Molecule: unclassified non-coding RNA, 221 nt
Filed under: Hevea brasiliensis (rubber tree)
Lineage: Eukaryota; Viridiplantae; Streptophyta; Magnoliopsida; Malpighiales; Euphorbiaceae
Source: RNAcentral